This 253-nucleotide ribosomal RNA is filed under the name uncultured bacterium. RNAcentral describes it as "partial 16S ribosomal RNA". It matches the Rfam family "Bacterial small subunit ribosomal RNA", at positions 524 to 776 of the family's 1533-position model. The record is from RNAcentral.
GACAGAGGUCCCGAGCGUUAGGCGGAAUCACUGGGCUUAAAGCGUGUGUAGGCGGAUCGUUAAGUACCUUGUGAAAUCCCACGGCUCAACCGUGGAACUGCUGGGUAUACUGGCGGUCUUGAGCCACCUAGGGGCAACUGGAACAAGCGGUGGAGCGGUGAAAUGCGUAGAUAUCGCUUGGAACGCCAACGGUGAAAACAGGUUGCUGGGGGUGUGCUGACGCUGAGACACGAAAGCCAGGGGAGCGAACGGG